This 499-nucleotide ribosomal RNA is filed under the name uncultured bacterium. RNAcentral's name for it is "partial 16S ribosomal RNA". It matches the Rfam family "Bacterial small subunit ribosomal RNA", at positions 30 to 523 of the family's 1533-position model. The record is from RNAcentral.
AUUGAACGCUGGCGGCAUGCCUUACACAUGCAAGUCGAACGGCAGCACGGGAGCAGUCCUGGUGGCGAGUGGCGAACGGGUGAGUAAAGUAUCGGAACGUGCCCAGUCGUGGGGGAUAACGUAGCGAAAGUUACGCUAAUACCGCAUACGAUCUAUGGAUGAAAGCGGGGGAUCGCAAGACCUCGCGCGAUUGGAGCGGCCGAUAUCAGAUUAGGUAGUUGGUGGGGUAAGGCUCACCAAGCCGACGAUCUGUAGCUGGUCUGAGAGGACGACCAGCCACACUGGGACUGAGACACGGCCCAGACUCCUACGGGAGGCAGCAGUGGGGAAUUUUGGACAAGGGGCGCAAGCCUGAUCCAGCCAUGCCGCGUGCAGGAUGAAGGCCUUCGGGUUGUAAACUGCUUUUGUACGGAACGAAAAGGUUCGACUUAAUACGUUGGACUCAUGACGGUACCGUAAGAAUAAGCACCGGCUAACUACGUGCCAGCCGCCGCCGUAA